This 253-nucleotide ribosomal RNA is filed under the name uncultured bacterium. Its description in RNAcentral is "partial 16S ribosomal RNA". It matches the Rfam family "Bacterial small subunit ribosomal RNA", at positions 524 to 776 of the family's 1533-position model. The record is from RNAcentral.
UACGUAGGGUGCAAGCGUUAAUCGGAAUUACUGGGCGUAAAGCGUGCGCAGGCGGUUUUGUAAGUCUGACGUGAAAUCCCCGGGCUUAACCUGGGAAUUGCGUUGGAGACUGCAAGGCUGGAGUCUGGCAGAGGGGGGUAGAAUUCCACGUGUAGCAGUGAAAUGCGUAGAGAUGUGGAGGAACACCGAUGGCGAAGGCAGCCCCCUGGGUCAAGACUGACGCUCAGGCACGAAAGCGUGGGGAGCAAACAGG